Molecule: ribosomal RNA, 305 nt
Filed under: uncultured bacterium
Lineage: Bacteria
Description: bacterial SSU rRNA
Rfam family: Bacterial small subunit ribosomal RNA
Source: RNAcentral
GCCUACGGGGGCAGCAGUAGGGAAUAUUGCUCAAUGGGGGAAACCCUGAAGCAGCAACGCCGCGUGGAGGAUGAAGGUUUUCGUAUUGUAAACUCCUUUUGUUAGAGAAGAUAAUGACGGUAUCUAACGAAUAAGCACCGGCUAACUCCGUGCCAGCAGCCGCGGUAAUACGGAGGGUGCAAGCGUUACUCGGAAUCACUGGGCGUAAAGAGCGCGUAGGCGGGAUAGCAAGUCAGAUGUGAAAUCCUAUGGCUUAACCAUAGAACUGCAUUUGAAACUGUUAUUCUAGAGUAUGGGAGAGGUAG